Molecule: RNA transcript, 1209 nt
Organism: Asparagus officinalis (garden asparagus)
Lineage: Eukaryota; Viridiplantae; Streptophyta; Magnoliopsida; Asparagales; Asparagaceae
Exons: 4
Source: RefSeq, a predicted model, not a curated record
AAUUCGGAGGGAGCCCACGCCCCAGCCCCAAAAUUUAUUUUCCCCCAAAUAAUUUCGGUCUCUCUCCCUCUCUGCUUCCCUCCCUCCCUCUCUCUCACCAAAACCAUCGUCGCCCUCCUCUCGUUGUCGCCGGAGCUCCCUCGCCGCCUCCCUCCCUCUCUCGUCGUCUCCGGAGCCGGAGCUCUCUCGUCGCCAAAACCAGCGCCGCCCUCCUCCUCUCGUUGUCGUCGUCGGAGCUCUCUCGCCGCCUCCCUCCCUUUCUCGUCGCCAAAAAGCGCUGCCCUCCCUCCCUUCUCGUCUUGUUGUAUAGCUAAACCUCCUAAAGUUUUUAAUUCGUUUUUCUUAUUAAUUUUGAUUUAAUUCAACGAUCUAUUAAUCUUGAUUUUCGUCUUGUUAUUGAUUUAUUUGAAAUUACGGGAAGUGGGAGGUAGAUUUCGCCCUUUCUCGGAGAUCACCGGAGUCUGCACUCGCUACAAAGAUCAGAUUGACUGGAAGAGAAUACGGGAAAUACAAGCCUCUCGUGGAGCCGGCCAAAAGGUAGCACACAAGUGGUUCCCAGGAGUUCAUCCUCUUCGUUGCUCGCACCGUCGCCAAGCGAACGCUGCCUGGCCAGCGCCAAUCCGUUCAGCAUGAAGCACUUCUUCCGGUUACCAAGUCUGUCGAUGCUGCUGAAGAUUGUCUGUCUUCAUUGCAGGUGGGUUGGAGCCGUCAGCGAGUUUCUUUCUGUUUUACACUCUAGCCCAUACAUUCAUGGACAACAACAGAGAGUACUGGGGUUCAUUCUCCUCUUGAGUCUUCAAUCGAUAAGUCCCCCUACAUAAACAUCAUGGAAGAUGGACUGGUUACUGCAUUGAUUAAUGAUGAACCAAACAAUAACGAAGCAACAGCUUUACUCAAUGCUCGAACCAAACUCCAUUGUUGUUCCCCAUUGUCUCCAAAACUAGUCAUUGUUGUCAAUCAAAAAAAAAUGUCCUCCCUCAUUCCUUCAUUGAAGAAAGACGCCAUCAGGGAACAUCCAAGCAACCAAGAAGAGGAAUAAAGGCACGCCAUUCUUGUAAAGCUUUCGCUGAUUAUUUUCGAUUAAGUCAGUCGUGACUUGUAUUUUUAAUUAACAUAUUUAAGACAUUUGUAUAUUUGAGAUAUCCUCUUUACGUUUGGGACUUGAGUAAUUUAUAAGUUGUAUUCUGAUUCUAGUCAAUCUUUUGUUUU